Long non-coding RNA from Cicer arietinum (chickpea), 372 nucleotides. RefSeq lists it as uncharacterized. The record is from RefSeq and is a predicted model, not a curated record. NCBI's taxonomy places the organism in Eukaryota, Viridiplantae, Streptophyta, Magnoliopsida, Fabales, Fabaceae.
UCUAACAUCUAACUCUUUUCAACAUAUCAAAGAUUAGGGUUUUGCGGCACUGAACGAUGCAAACUUUUCCCAUUUUCCUCUAAAUCAAUUUAACCUUGUAACAUUGCUGAUGAUGAUAUAAUCCAACUUUUUGAGGUGUUGUGGAGCCAAGCCCCUGUCUUCAGGGAGAACCUACUUGGCGAAGUUGCAUUCAUAUGACAUCUAUGGAUUUAACUGAGGCAAAAAUAAACUAUUUUUAUUUGAGUUUUACUAUGCUCUGAAUCAUAUUUGUUUGUUUAGUGUCUCAAGAAAUUAAAUAUUGUUGUCUUGUCAUCGGCUUAAUCUCCUCUAUGAACCACGAGUCAUUUGUUCUUUGUUUUUAAUUUGUUGAAA